GACGAACGCUGGCGGCGUGCUUAACACAUGCAAGUCGAGCGACGCUCUUCCUUCGGGGAGAUGACGGAGCGGCGAACGGGUGAGUAACACGUGGGCAACCUGCCCCUAGCUCUGGGACAACACGGGGAAACCGGUGCUAAUACCGGAUACGACAUCGAGCGGCAUCUCUCGAUGUGGAAAGUUUUUGCGGCUAGGGAUGGGCCCGCGGCCUAUCAGCUUGUUGGGGGGGUAAUGGCCCACCAAGGCGACGACGGGUAGCCGGCCUGGGAGGGCGACCGGCCACGCUGGGACUGAGACACGGCCCACACUCCUACGGGAGGCAGCAGUGGGGUAUAUUGCGCCAUGGGCGAAAGCCUGACGCAGCGACGCCGCGUGUGCGAUGACGGCCUUCGGGUUGUAAACCUCUUUCCGCAGGGACGAAUUCAGACGGUACCUGCAGAAGAAGCACCGGCCAACUACGUG
This 462-nucleotide ribosomal RNA is filed under the name uncultured bacterium. RNAcentral's name for it is "partial 16S ribosomal RNA". It matches the Rfam family "Bacterial small subunit ribosomal RNA", at positions 28 to 507 of the family's 1533-position model. The record is from RNAcentral.